AACGCUGGCGGCGUGCCUAACACAUGCAAGUCGAACGAGAAAGUACCUUCGGGGUGCGAGUAAAGUGGCAAACGGGUGAGUAACGCGUGGGAUAUCUACCCUGAUGAGAGGAAUAACUCUCCGAAAGGAGAGCUUAUACCGCAUAAUCCGGAAACGGGAAAGGCCUUAUGGUCGCAUCUGGAGGAGCCCGCGUCCGAUUAGCUGGUUGGUGAGGUAAUGGCUCACCAAGGCGACGAUCGGUAGCCGGUCUGAGAGGACGGACGGUCACACUGGGACUGAGACACGGCCCAGACCCCUACGGGAGGCAGCAGUGGGGAAUUUUGGGCAAUGGGGGAAACCCUGACCCAGCAACGCCGCGUGGAGGAAGAAGGUUUUCGAAUCGUAAACUCCUGUCCCACGAGAAGAAGCAAGUGACGGUAUCGUGGGAGGAAGCCCCGGCUAACUCCGUGCCAGCAGCCGCGGUAAUACGGGGGGGGGCGAGCGUUGUUCGGAAUUACUGGGCGUAAAGGGCGCGUAGGCGGUUUCGGAAGUCAAGGGUGAAAGCCCCGAGCUCAACUCGGGAAUUGCCUUUGAAACCACGGAACUAGAGUGCUGGAGAGGAAAGCGGAAUUUCCAGUGUAGCGGUGAAAUGCGUAGAUAUUGGAAGGAACAUCUGAGGCGAAGGCGGCUUUCUGGACAGACACUGACGCUGAGGCGCGAAAGCCAGGGGAGCGAACGGGAUUAGAUACCCCGGUAGUCCUGGCUGUAAACGAUGAACACUUGGUGUGGGGGGUAUAAAGUCCCUCCGUGCCGAAGAUAACUCGAUAAGUGUUCCGCCUGGGGAGUACGGCCGCGAGGCUGAAACUCAAAGGAAUUGACGGGGGCCCGCACAAGCGGUGGAGCAUGUGGUUUAAUUCGACGCAACGCGAAGAACCUUACCGGGGUUUGAACUGUACCGGCGACAUCCAGAGAUGGAUGGUUUCCUUCGGGAACUGGUAUAGAGGUGCUGCAUGGCUGUCGUCAGCUCGUGUCGUGAGAUGUUGGGUUAAGUCCCGCAACGAGCGCAACCCUUGUCUGUAGUUGCCAUCAGGUUAAGCUGGGCACUCUACGGAGACUGUCGGCGAUAAGCCGGAGGAAGGUGGGGAUGACGUCAAGUCCUCAUGGCCUUUAUGUCCCGGGCUACACACGUGCUACAAUGGAUGGAACAGAGGGCAGCAAGCCUGCGAAGGCAAGCGAAUCCCAAAAAUCCAUUCUCAGUUCGGAUUGCAGUCUGCAACUCGACUGCAUGAAGUUGGAAUCGCUAGUAAUCGCGGAUCAGAAUGCCGCGGUGAUACGUUCCCGGGCACUUGUACACACCGCCCGUCACAUCACGAAAGUGGGCUGUACUAGAAGC
Molecule: ribosomal RNA, 1372 nt
Filed under: uncultured organism
Description: bacterial SSU rRNA
Rfam family: Bacterial small subunit ribosomal RNA
Source: RNAcentral